UCCAUAUGAAUGACCUGGAACGCUGCCGU
Molecule: small RNA, 29 nt
Filed under: Bombyx mori (domestic silkworm)
Lineage: Eukaryota; Metazoa; Arthropoda; Insecta; Lepidoptera; Bombycidae
Description: ovarian small RNA-7210
Source: RNAcentral